This 301-nucleotide ribosomal RNA is filed under the name uncultured bacterium. Its description in RNAcentral is "partial 16S ribosomal RNA". It matches the Rfam family "Archaeal small subunit ribosomal RNA", at positions 459 to 759 of the family's 1478-position model. The record is from RNAcentral.
CAGUAGCCACGGUAAUACCAGCAGCCCAAGUGGUGGUCGCGAUUAUUGGGCCUAAAGCGCUCGUAGCCGGGCCGGUAAGUCCCUUGUGAAAUCGGACGGCCUAACCGUUCGGCGUGCAAGGGAUACUGUCGGUCUUGAGGCCGGGAGACGUCCGAGGUACUCCGGGGGUAGCGGUGAAAUGUUCUGAUCCUCGGGGGACCACCGGUGGCGAAGGCGUUCGACGAGAACGGGCCUGACGGUGAGGGGCGAAGGCUAGGGGAGCAAACGGGAUUAGAUACCCCCGUAGUCCCUGUCUCUUAUA